Molecule: long non-coding RNA, 1286 nt
Organism: Cygnus olor (mute swan)
Lineage: Eukaryota; Metazoa; Chordata; Aves; Anseriformes; Anatidae
Exons: 2
Source: RefSeq, a predicted model, not a curated record
CCAGGCAGAGCUCGCACUCCUCUUCUCUCCAAGGAAGGGCCGGGGGAAGAAAGUUGAGCGAGCGGACGAGCGCGGGAGCCGGCGCGGCACAGCGGCCCGGCGGGGCGAGGUGCUCUCACCUUUCAGCACGUAGCGCUUGCAACGCUGCAGAGAGAAGAGGUAAAAUUUAUAUCCCAUAAAUCACACGUCAAGUGCCUGCAAGGAGAGGUCAUUAAACAGAUGUAUGAGGCAAGAGACAAAGUCCAUCCAUUUUGGGAGAUGCUCCCGGUGUCAGCAGCACUCCAGGAGCCUCCAGAGGCAGGUACCCGACCGGCACAGAAGGAGCUCCCCGGAUAGUUUUAUUUAUUUCCUCCCCGAUUUAUUUGAUUGCGUUUUCUUUAUUUAAAUAGCUCGCCGGGCUUUCCCCUGCCAGAGCUGCCCGACAGGGGUGAGAGCGGAGGGUAGCAGCACAUCAAACAGCUCGGGAGCACGGGCGGAUGGAGUGAUGGAUGGAGGCCGGCCCGCGAUUAAUAAUCAAACCAGGAGCUUUUGCUGGGAGUCAUGUGGAAAAUGUGGCUUUGGAAACAUUUGUCUUGGUCCCACAAACAACAAGUGGUGUUUCGCUCCCUUCCUUUGUUCCUCGCCCCCCUUUCCUCCCUCCCUCUCUCCCUCUUUUGGCUUUUCAUGCCCAGAUCCGCUGAUUAAAAUCUUCUUCAUCCUUUACCUGCUCCAAGUGGCUUCUGCGCUGCUUUGAUUUAUGCUUUGCUUAUCUCAGGCUUCAGUGCAAAAAUAAUGACCAGAUAAUAAAGAGCACUGAGGAGCUUUUCAAAUGACGUGGCACUCGCUGCUUGGGCCGGGGCUUUGCAGGAACCUUGGCGAGGAAUGUGGUGCUGGCCCUGGGCCCAAGCAGAGGGGGAUGAAGCACAGCAGCUCCGCUCGCCCAGCGCCCGCGCUCCAGCGUCACCUCUCUGGGCAAAGCUGGGCACCUCAAAGAGCUCCUCCAUGGGUCGAGUCAGCUCUUAGCUUGGCAAAUCCAUGGAGAGGUUUGCUGGGGGCUUUCUGAAGCGUUGCAGUGGCUGUCGAUCCUCCCAGGGAGAUGCUCAAGCAGCAUCUCCACGAUGCUCUGCCCUCCUUGAGCCCUGCUCCGUCCUUCGCUGACCUAGGGUGCCCGAGCCCUGCAGCAUCCCGAUCCCAAUGCUCCCAUGGACCUACAAGGGCUCCACACCUGUGGGGGUUCAGAUUUUACUGUAGGGGUCAGAUUUUACUGUAGGGUUGGGGACCUAUAGGUUUCCCUGCAUUCUUCAUUA